CAACCUCAACUCAUAUGGGACUACCCCCUGAAUUUAAGCAUAUUAAUUAGGGGAGGAAAAGAAACUAACAAGGAUUUUCUUAGUAGCGGCGAGCGAAAAGAAAACAGUUCAGCACUAAGUCACUUUGUCUAUAUGGCAAAUGUGAGAUGCAGUGUAUGGAGCGUCAAUAUUCUAGUAUGAGAAAUUAAUGAUUUAAGUCCUUCUUAAAUGAGGCCAUUUACCCAUAGAGGGUGCCAGGCCCGUAUAACGUUAAUGAUUGCUAGAUGAUGUUUCCAAAGAGUCGUGUUGCUUGAUAGUGCAGCACUAAGUGGGUGGUAAACUCCAUCUAAAACUAAAUAUAACCAUGAGACCGAUAGUAAACAAGUACCGUGAGGGAAAGUUGAAAAGAACUCUGAAUAGAGAGUUAAACAGUACGUGAAACUGCUUAGAGGUUAAGCUCGAUGAACCUGAAUAUCCGUUAUGGAAAAUUCAUCAUUAAAAUUGUAAUAUUUAAAUAAUAUUAUUAAGAAUAAUGUGCAUUUUUUCCAUAUAAGGACAUUGUAAUCUAUUAGCAUAUCCCAAAUUUAUCAUAAAAUAUAACUUAUAGUUUAUUCUAAUUAAAUUGCUUGCAUUUUAACACAGAAUAAAUGUUAUUAAUUUGAUAAAGUGCUGAUAGAUUUAUAUUAUUACAGAGCGUUAAUUUUUCGGAAUUAUAUAAUGGCAUAAUUAUCAUUGAUUUUUGUGUUUAUUAUAUGCUCUUGUAUGAUUAACAAUGCGAAAGAUUCAGGAUACCUUCGGGACCCGUCUUGAAACCACGGACCAAGGAGUCUAACAUAUGUGUAGGUUAUUAGGGAUGUAAACCUAAUAGGCGUAAUUAACUUUGACUAAUAAUGGGAUAGAUUUUUAGGCUAUUUAUAGCUAAUUAACACAUCCCGGGGCGUUCUAUA
RNAcentral lists this non-coding RNA (926 nucleotides) under Drosophila sechellia. RNAcentral describes it as "Eukaryotic large subunit ribosomal RNA". It matches the Rfam family "Eukaryotic large subunit ribosomal RNA", at positions 1 to 774 of the family's 3401-position model. The record is from Rfam by way of RNAcentral. Lineage: Eukaryota; Metazoa; Arthropoda; Insecta; Diptera; Drosophilidae.